Molecule: ribosomal RNA, 254 nt
Filed under: uncultured bacterium
Lineage: Bacteria
Description: partial 16S ribosomal RNA
Rfam family: Bacterial small subunit ribosomal RNA
Source: RNAcentral
CUUUCUUUGCUGGCGACCGGCGCACGGGUGAGUAACACGUAUCCAACCUGCCCUUUACUCGGGGACAGCCUUUCGAAAGAAAGAUUAAUACCCGAUAGCAUAAUGAUUCCGCAUGGUUUCAUUAUUAAAGGAUUCCGGUAAAGGAUGGGGAUGCGUUCCAUUAGGUUGUUGGUGGGGUAACGGCCCACCAAGCCUUCGAUGGAUAGGGGUUCUGAGAGGAAGGUCCCCCACAUUGGAACUGAGACACGGUCCAA